GUUGGAAUAACAAAUUUAUAUUACCCACAAUUGGGAGAAGGGCUACUACUCCACCAGCUACCACACAUAUCCUUUGCAAUUUAAGCAUCCGACAACUAGAGAAGAUCGAUUUUUGGAAAGCAAAGCCCCAAAGUGCAGGGUUGGAAAAUGAAAUGAUUCACUCAUCUUUUGCCUCUAAGCUUUAUCUGAACUAUGAAAUUCUACCUCAUCAAUGUCAUCUUCUCCUCCUCUAUGGCUCUUAUAAAUUGCUCUUCAAGUGCAACACUCUCAGUCUCUAGACCAUGUUCCCCUAACGGUGUCAAAAUUGGAGAGUUACCAACUUGAUGCUUCAACUUUUCCUUAUCUGGUGUGGCAUUUGAUUCUUAAAAUAAUUCAAGAGCUUUGUUGUCUAAUAUCUGGUGACUGAGGCAAGUGAUCUUCCAUGAAAUGCCAU
RNAcentral lists this long non-coding RNA (433 nucleotides) under Setaria italica (foxtail millet). RNAcentral's name for it is "long non-coding RNA (SITA_LNC001535)". The record is from RNAcentral. Lineage: Eukaryota; Viridiplantae; Streptophyta; Magnoliopsida; Poales; Poaceae.